GUAUAAUUCAUGCUGCAGUCUCUUCCCUUUCCCAUCUUCAACAGGCUAUCCACUAGCUUAGUCUUGUCUCCACCAUGACACACCCUUCAGUGAUCACUCGGUGUUCUCUGACAUGACCUUACAUCUGUCCUCCCUAUGAAGAUCCUUCCCAUGAAGACCUACUGGAUAAUCUAGGGUGUUCCUCCACCUCGCAUACACCUCUGUGAUUUUGAUCCCAUCCUCUCCAGAAUCUCACCUCACAGACUACUGUCCAGACCAACAGCACAGCGCUACCUGCAAGUCUGUCAAAACGCUGCAACGCAGGCCCUCACCCAGGACUGUGGGAUCAGAAGCUACUUUAAAUUAGAUCUUAAAGUCUUCUGAAAGGCACUCAACUAGACUCCUUCGGUAUAACUGGUUUAUUCCACUACUUGGAACUUUAACCCUUUACUAUCCAUUUCUACUUUCCUCAAGCAAUAACUCUAAGUCUUUAAAGUAAAGCAAAACAAAAUGA
Long non-coding RNA from Cavia porcellus (domestic guinea pig), 493 nucleotides. RefSeq lists it as uncharacterized. Lineage: Eukaryota; Metazoa; Chordata; Mammalia; Rodentia; Caviidae. The record is from RefSeq and is a predicted model, not a curated record. The transcript has 2 exons.